This 28-nucleotide non-coding RNA is filed under the name Homo sapiens (human). Lineage: Eukaryota; Metazoa; Chordata; Mammalia; Primates; Hominidae. The record is from RNAcentral.
UCACAGAACAUUCCCUCAGCAUGUGCCU